AGUGAACGCUGGCGGUAGGCCUAACACAUGCAAGUCGAACGGCAGCACAGUAAGAGCUUGCUCUUACGGGUGGCGAGUGGCGGACGGGUGAGGAAUACAUCGGAAUCUACUUUUUCGUGGGGGAUAACGUAGGGAAACUUACGCUAAUACCGCAUACGACCUACGGGUGAAAGCAGGGGAUCUUCGGACCUUGCGCGAUUGAAUGAGCCGAUGUCGGAUUAGCUAGUUGGCGGGGUAAAGGCCCACCAAGGCGACGAUCCGUAGCUGGUCUGAGAGGAUGGUCGGCCACACGGGAAAAUGAACACCGGCCCAGAUCCUGAGGGAGGGCCCAGAGGGGAAAAUUAGGCAAAAGGGGGGAAUCUUGCACAACCCCCCCCGGGGGGGUGAAGAAGCCCUUCGGGUUGGAAACCCUUUUUUUGGGGAAAAAAAACCGGCGGGUUAAACCCCCCCUUUUUGACGGGAACCAAAAAAAAAGCACCCGCUAACUUCGGG
RNAcentral lists this ribosomal RNA (492 nucleotides) under uncultured bacterium. RNAcentral's name for it is "partial 16S ribosomal RNA". It matches the Rfam family "Bacterial small subunit ribosomal RNA", at positions 29 to 507 of the family's 1533-position model. The record is from RNAcentral.